GUCAGGAUUGCCCUAAUGAAUUCGUAUCCUGAUUCUUUAAAGUGACCCAUGGGACUUGGACUUGACUGCAGUCUUCUGAGGACCAGCAACACAACAGGAGACUGUCCUAGACUACUACAUGUGCUCCGGCUCCACAGGACCUUGCAGAAUGAGCCCCACUGUAAGAAGUAAUCUGCAGCUGGCUGAAGGAGUCCCAGACACCACAACCCUAAACCAGCUCAGAUGCAGAAGACAACUAGGAGAUGUAUUAUGGUGUCCUGCAAUGUGAUGUCAGUACUGACACGUGGUUCACAGACACAGAGAAGCUCUACAGCAAUAAAUACCCUGUCACAGGGUAUGAGUAGGACUCCCAGAGAAGAAAUACAUCUGAGUCAUUGUCUGACCCUCUGGAUUCACAGGAGCAGUGGAACAUCUCCAAGCACAGAGGUAAGCACAAGACUCAAGUUUAAGCUCAGGCUCCCUGUGUGGCCUUGGGCAUGUCACUAACUUGUUUUGCACCUCAGGAACUCACCUGGGGAUUAGAAACAAGAAUACCUCCUCGUCUAUCCCUUCCAUUUGUUGGCAAUCCCUUCAGGAUCAGGCUUUCUUUUACUACAUGUGUAUGUAGCCCAUUACAUAACACUUUAUACAGAUGCUGUUUAAGUUACAAUUCAGGACAUCCAUGUGCUCAGAGGGCAAUAUUAUCAUGUCUUGACAUAGAGGAUUUGUGUUACAAGUCAUUUGUCUUGUAGUACUUUUUCAGUCUGACUGGGAUUUGUUCCCUUAAUGAGAAGCAAAGAAAUCUGUGACACAUAGGAGACUGUGUGACAGUCUUUCUGGAUCAGAAGUCCCUGAAAGCACAUUAAAUUAAACAUUUAGAGGUCAUCCUGUCAGGUAAAUGCCUUUUUCUUUGUUCAGUUGCUCCCUACACAUACCUAAUCAUAAUGUGGAUGUCUAAUCAGCAGUGGUCCCAAACAUAAGUGAACAUGGCCCAGCUCACCAAGUCAAAACAGUAAGUGAUCCUUCUGCCCAGUCCGGGGAAUUGCAGAAUGUAGUGACUCUAAAUGGUGAGAUCAAAGACAAUUUUUUU
Long non-coding RNA from Poecile atricapillus (Black-capped chickadee), 1069 nucleotides. RefSeq lists it as uncharacterized. Lineage: Eukaryota; Metazoa; Chordata; Aves; Passeriformes; Paridae. The transcript is spliced from 3 exons. The record is from RefSeq and is a predicted model, not a curated record.